This is a small nucleolar RNA of Cynocephalus volans (Philippine flying lemur), 89 nucleotides long. Lineage: Eukaryota; Metazoa; Chordata; Mammalia; Dermoptera; Cynocephalidae. The record is from RefSeq and is a predicted model, not a curated record.
GGACCCCUAUGAUGUCCAGCACAGCUCUGACCAACGCUGAGGACACAGUGCUUCCUGAGACCUUUGACACCCAGAGUUCUGAGGGGCAC